UAUCAGACAACUUUUCAGUUUUUAGAUAUAAUGUAUGACUCUUUGUCUUAUUUAAAAAAAUUACGAUUAAUAUUUUUAUUUUUAUUAGAUGAUAAAACAUAAAUAGUACUUCACGUGUGACUAAUUUUUUUAAAAUUUUUAAUAAAGUUUUGAAAUAAGACGGAUGAUGAAACGUUUGACACAAAAACCCA
RNAcentral lists this microRNA precursor (191 nucleotides) under Oryza brachyantha (malo sina). RNAcentral's name for it is "MIR812 microRNA precursor family". It matches the Rfam family "MIR812 microRNA precursor family". The record is from Rfam by way of RNAcentral. Lineage: Eukaryota; Viridiplantae; Streptophyta; Magnoliopsida; Poales; Poaceae.